GACACGCUGGCGGCGUGCUUAAUACAUGCAAGUCGAACGGAAGUAGCAAUACUUUAGUGGCGCACGGGUGAGGAACACGUAGAUGAUCUGCCCUUGAGAUCGAGAUAACCCGGGAAACUGGGGCUAAUACCGGAUAAUGCAUUAUUAUUGGAUUAAUAAUGUUAAAGCGGCGCAAGUCGCACUUGAGGAUGAGUCUGCGACCUAUCAGCUAGUUGGCGGUGUAAUGGACCACCAAGGCAAAGACGGGUAGCUGAUCUGAGAGGAUGAUCAGCCACACUGGGACUGAGACACGGCCCAGACUCCUACGGGAGGCAGCAGUAGGGAAUAUUGCGCAAUGGGGGAAACCCUGACGCAGCGACGCCGCGUGAGUGAUGAAGGCCUUUCUGGUUGUAAAGCUCUGUAAGGAGGGAAGAAUGUCAGGCAGUAACGUGUCUGAGUGACGGUACCUCCGGAGUAAGGACCGGCUAAAUACGUG
This 475-nucleotide ribosomal RNA is filed under the name uncultured bacterium. Its description in RNAcentral is "bacterial SSU rRNA". It matches the Rfam family "Bacterial small subunit ribosomal RNA", at positions 33 to 507 of the family's 1533-position model. The record is from RNAcentral.